Molecule: ribosomal RNA, 253 nt
Filed under: uncultured bacterium
Lineage: Bacteria
Description: partial 16S ribosomal RNA
Rfam family: Bacterial small subunit ribosomal RNA
Source: RNAcentral
UACGGGGGAUGCGAGCGUUAUCCGGAUUUAUUGGGUUUAAAGGGUGCGUAGGCGGCGCUUCAGGUCAGCGGUGAAAUACCGGGGCUCAACCCCGGGGCUGCCGUUGAAACCGGAGCGCUAGAAUUCCGAUGCCGUCGGAGGAAUGUGUGGUGUAGCGGUGAAAUGCAUAGAUAUCAGGAGGAACAUCGGUGGCGUAAGCGCUUUACUGGGCCGUAAUUGACGCUGAGGAACGAAAGCCAGGGUAGCAAAUGGG